Molecule: non-coding RNA, 257 nt
Organism: Petromyzon marinus (sea lamprey)
Lineage: Eukaryota; Metazoa; Chordata; Hyperoartia; Petromyzontiformes; Petromyzontidae
Source: RefSeq, a predicted model, not a curated record
CGGGCCGCGUGGGAUUUAAACAAAGAGGCGUGCUGGAUUUGCCCGGACUGGACUCGCCGCUAUCUGUAAAAUAUCUAAAUAUAUCGUGAUCUGCAACGGAGCUCACGUGUGCUUCUCUGUGUGUGUGUGCAGUACGCCAAGGAUCCAGUGACUGUCGGGUGAAAGCCGAGUGGCAGGGGUCUCCCGAACCGGGCUGAUGAGGUCCAGCGGCGCGCGCCCUGCAGACUCGCCCUGAAGAGAUAAAAGAGCGAGGCGGG